This 74-nucleotide transfer RNA is filed under the name Pestalotiopsis fici W106-1. RNAcentral describes it as "tRNA-Lys (TTT) (tRNA-Lys-TTT-2-1)". It matches the Rfam family "tRNA". Rfam says of the family: Transfer RNA (tRNA) molecules are approximately 80 nucleotides in length. Their secondary structure includes four short double-helical elements and three loops (D, anti-codon, and T loops). Lineage: Eukaryota; Fungi; Ascomycota; Sordariomycetes; Amphisphaeriales; Sporocadaceae. The record is from RNAcentral.
UCCGGAGUGGCGCAAUGGCUCAGCGCAUUGGACUUUUAAUCCAAGGGUUCGGGGUUCGAGUCCCCGCUUCGGAG